This 326-nucleotide long non-coding RNA is filed under the name Setaria italica (foxtail millet). Its description in RNAcentral is "long non-coding RNA (SITA_LNC001867)". The record is from RNAcentral. Lineage: Eukaryota; Viridiplantae; Streptophyta; Magnoliopsida; Poales; Poaceae.
GAAUCCUAUUUUUGUUCUUCCACCCAUGCAAUAGAGAGCGAAUGAGAAAAGAGGGGUUAUUGUUCCCUUAAAAGAGAGGCUUUGAAAUAGGAAUCAUGGAAUAAUGCUGAAUUCAAAUAUUUAUUUCUUUAUUUCUAUAGUGUAAGAAAAAUAAAUUGAAUGAAAUUCGUGGAUUUACCACGACCUUGGUUGUGACCCCAUAGAUAAAAAUGCAAAAUUUCUAUCUUCGAGACCAUUGAAAAAGGGCAUUGAACGAGAAAGAAAUCGUCCACAGAUAAUCAAACUAUCGUAUGCCCUGGAAGUAAUAUGAGGUGCUCGGAAAUGAU